AACCAUCCUCUUGCCCCCCUGAACAAGCCCGAUUCCGUCUGAUCUCGGAAGCUAAGCAGGGUCGGGCCUGGUUAGUACUUGGAUGAGAGACCACCUCGGAAGACCAGGUGCUGUAGGCA
RNAcentral lists this ribosomal RNA (119 nucleotides) under Pteropus alecto (black flying fox). The record is from RNAcentral. Lineage: Eukaryota; Metazoa; Chordata; Mammalia; Chiroptera; Pteropodidae.